GAUGAACGCUGGCGGCGUGCCUAAUACAUGCAAGUCGAGCGAACGGACGAGAAGCUUGCUUCUCUGAUGUUAGCGGCGGACGGGUGAGUAACACGUGGAUAACCUACCUAUAAGACUGGGAUAACUUCGGGAAACCGGAGCUAAUACCGGAUGAUAUUUUGAACCGCAUGGUUCAAAAGUGAAAGACGGUCUUGCUGUCACUUAUAGAUGGAUCCGCGCUGCAUUAGCUAGUUGGUAAGGUAAUGGCUUACCAAGGCAACGAUGCAUAGCCGACCUGAGAGGGUGAUCGGCCACACGGGAACUGAGACACGGUCCAGACUCCGACGGGAGGCAGCAGUAGGGAAUCUUCCGCAAGGGGCGAAAGCCUGACGGAGCAACGCCGCGUGAGUGAUGAAGGUCCUCGGAUCGUAAAACUCUGUUAUUAGGGAAGAACAUAUGUGUAAGUAACUGUGCACAUCUUGACGGUACCUAAUCAGAAAGCCACGGCUAACUACGUG
Molecule: ribosomal RNA, 497 nt
Filed under: uncultured bacterium
Lineage: Bacteria
Description: partial 16S ribosomal RNA
Rfam family: Bacterial small subunit ribosomal RNA
Source: RNAcentral